This 468-nucleotide ribosomal RNA is filed under the name uncultured bacterium. RNAcentral describes it as "partial 16S ribosomal RNA". It matches the Rfam family "Bacterial small subunit ribosomal RNA", at positions 28 to 507 of the family's 1533-position model. The record is from RNAcentral.
GACGAACGCUGGCGGCGUGCUUAACACAUGCAAGUCGAACGGAAAGGCCCUGCUUUUGUGGGGUGCUCGAGUGGCGAACGGGUGAGUAACACGUGAGUAACCUGCCCUUGACUUUGGGAUAACUUCAGGAAACUGGGGCUAAUACCGGAUAGGAGCUCCUGCUUCAUGGUGGGGGUUGGAAAGUUUCGGCGGUUGGGGAUGGACUCGCGGCUUAUCAGCUUGUUGGUGGGGUAGUGGCUUACCAAGGCUUUGACGGGUAGCCGGCCUGAGAGGGUGACCGGCCACAUUGGGACUGAGAUACGGCCCAGACUCCUACGGGAGGCAGCGGUGGGGAAUAUUGCACAAUGGGCGGAAGCCUGAUGCAGCAACGCCGCGUGCGGGAUGACGGCCUUCGGGUUGUAAACCGCUUUCGCCUGUGACGAAGCGUGAGUGACGGUAAUGGGUAAAGAAGCACCGGCUAACUACGUG